UGGAUAUGAUGACCAAUUACCUGAGAAAUAAUUGAUGAAAUUCAAGAAAAUUCCUCUAGAUAGUCAAGUUCUGAUCCAG
This 79-nucleotide small nucleolar RNA is filed under the name Sciurus vulgaris (Eurasian red squirrel). RNAcentral describes it as "Small nucleolar RNA SNORD20 (ENSSVLG00005013646.1)". It matches the Rfam family "Small nucleolar RNA SNORD20". Rfam says of the family: U20 is a C/D box small nucleolar RNA that is encoded in intron 11 of the nucleolin gene in human, mouse and rat. Lineage: Eukaryota; Metazoa; Chordata; Mammalia; Rodentia; Sciuridae. The record is from Rfam by way of RNAcentral.